RNAcentral lists this long non-coding RNA (556 nucleotides) under Homo sapiens (human). RNAcentral's name for it is "non-protein coding lnc-JPH4-4:4". The record is from RNAcentral. Lineage: Eukaryota; Metazoa; Chordata; Mammalia; Primates; Hominidae.
GGGGCUAUCAGUCCAACUCCUCAGUUAAUAGCCAGGGAAACAGAAGCCCAGGGAGAUAAAGACGGUGGCAGAGGAGGAAUUCUUUCUUAGCAGAUCUUCCAUUCCUAAUCCAGGAUCAUUUCCAGGGCUCCCAGGAGAAAUCUUUUGCCACAUUUGGAGAAAGGAUUGAAGAGAAAUGAGAGCCUGGAUGUGAAGAAAACAUUAGGAAGCUGCAGCAGUAACCUAUGUGAGAAAUUAAGAGAACCUAAAUCAGAUCCGUUGGCCAUCAAGAUUUCACUCAUUUUGAGACCUAGAGAUUGGUGCUCCUGGAGCUGUGAAAUGCGUGGCCUCUGUAGCCCUGGCCCCAUCAGCAGAGGGAGGAGAAGAGGAGAAGCAGCUGGACAUCAGAGACUAUGGUUGGACAUUGGAGAGAAGCAGCUUGACUUCAAAGGGACGGCUUGAUGGCAUUGCUUCGGAGAGGAGUUCAGCCAGGGACAGCUGGACUCUAGGGGAAUAUUAUCUUCCCACACCAUCCACUUUUCAGCUCCCCUUCCCACUGAGAACCACUUUCAUUGGC